RNAcentral lists this ribosomal RNA (497 nucleotides) under uncultured bacterium. RNAcentral's name for it is "partial 16S ribosomal RNA". It matches the Rfam family "Bacterial small subunit ribosomal RNA", at positions 28 to 507 of the family's 1533-position model. The record is from RNAcentral.
GAUGAACGCUGGCGGCGUGCCUAAUACAUGCGAGUCGAGCGAACGGACGAGAAGCUUGCUUCUCUGAUGUUAGCGGUGGACGGGUGAGUAACACGUGGAUAACCUACCUAUAAGACUGGGAUAACUUCGGGAAACCGGAGCUAAUACCGGAUAAUAUUUUGAACCGCAUGGUUCAAAAGUGAAAGACGGUCUUGCUGUCACUUAUAGAUGGAUCCGCGCUGCAUUAGCUAGUUGGUAAGGUAACGGCUUACCAAGGCAACGAUGCAUAGCCGACCUGAGAGGGUGAUCGGCCACACUGGAACUGAGACACGGUCCAGACUCCUACGGGAGGCAGCAGUAGGGAAUCUUCCGCAAUGGGCGAAAGCCUGACGGAGCAACGCCGCGUGAGUGAUGAAGGUCUUCGGAUCGUAAAACUCUGUUAUUAGGGAAGAACAUAUGUGUAAGUAACUGUGCACAUCUUGACGGUACCUAAUCAGAAAGCCACGGCUAACUACGUG